Molecule: long non-coding RNA, 4315 nt
Filed under: Mus musculus (house mouse)
Lineage: Eukaryota; Metazoa; Chordata; Mammalia; Rodentia; Muridae
Description: long non-coding RNA chr6:149545881-149550196
Source: RNAcentral
AGGAAAGAUACUAAAAAGUCAUGCAACAUAAAUGAAGAGGUGCCAGGGGAAAAAGAGAAUAUGAAAGCAAUAGGAUAGACACCUAAAUGUGUCAGAGAAUGUGGAAAUAAAAUUUUUAUACAGAAGAAAGAAAAGUUUUUCUAAACUUAAGCCUCAAAUUCAAGCCUGAUCUUUGACAAAUUUCAGGAAAUGGAUGCAUUCAUCUGCUUAAUAUACAGUGGUGACAGCUAAAAGCCAGUUCAUUAAAAAUGCCUUCUGUUAGACUAAACUUCUUUUUCAUACAUAAAGCCAGGGUAAGUGCUAUGUCUGAAUCUUGACAAACAACCAGCUGUUUAAAAUUUUUUAAGGCAAAUAGAGAAUUAGUUAUACAAUUUUUUACAUUCAUAACUGGUUAAAAAAUUGAAAAUCAUCCAUUAAGAUGUAUGAAAUAGCCUUAUUGUUACCAGUCUAAAAUGAAGAUAUCAAAGUAAAAUUGCCAUAUUUUUGAAUUGAUACAUAAAAAUAGGAGAGAGGCUUACAUAUUAAAUGAGUAGAAUUCAAAAGAUACAUUAAGUAGAAAAAAGCUUAAAAUGCAUCAGGGAUAAAUAUAUAAUGUUUAAAAAGUAGGAAUCAGAGUUGCAACUCAGUGGUAGAGUGAAUGCUUAGCACGCACAAGGCCCUAGGUUCAAUUCCCAAAGCACAAAUUAUAUAAACUAUUUCAUUAGAAUUAUAAACAUAUAUUAAUAAUGGCUAUAUAUGUGUAUGAUAAGUAUGCCCAUAUUUUAUUGGCAUUUAAACAUAUAUCCAUAAGCACAGGGUAGAAGAAACAUGACUUGUUAUCACCAUCUAUAAACAAAGAAAGAUUGGCAUAAAAUAGCAGUGAAAUGUGGUUUCCUUUAAAUGUCAUAAUGAUUUUAUUUUCAUAGAAUUUUGAUGAUUUUGAUGAGGCAGGUCUUCUGUGUUUCUCUCCUGUAGUCAUGCCAGACUACAUAUGAUUUUAUUUUCACACACCUCAGGGUUAAAAAGGUGUCCCUGGACUAUGUUCUCCAGGGUAAGGGAGCUACGUGAUAGGAGAAUGAGAGAAGUUGCCACCAUGUCUCAUAUUUGGCAUUAAGGAAACUCAGAGGUUCAGAUGGUUAUUAUGGACAUUUGAGUAGUACUGGAUGUAGCUUAUGGUGCUAAGAGAAGGAGAUAUGUAUGAAAGAUACAUUUCCACUAAGAGCCAUGGCUGGAUUAGACCUUCCACCUUGAAAAUAGGCUUUAAUAAGUCAUGCUUUAUGAAACUUGUGUGACACUGCUCUUUUCACAGAGUAUGUGGUAAUCAAGGAAACCUCUCCUAGAGCCUCAUCCUGGCAGGCUGUAUACUCCACAGCUCAGACUGUACUCAUAUCCUAAAUGAUAUCCAUAGUAUCUUGUGGGAUGAUGGAAGAGCCAAAACCUAAUGUUCAAACUCAUUCCAUUCAGGUUACUCUCACCGAUCUCAAGCAGCCAUUACUCGGUUUCUGGACUCCCAAAGGCAUUGGUCUUUAGGAAAUUAAUGAAUUUUCUAAAUUGCAUCAAAAAGGUUAGAAGUAGUAGAAACCUGAAAGAAAUCUUUAAAGCAAGACCUCUUCUUUUCUUCCAGGGAAAUCUAUUGUUUCCAGCAACCCAAACCAACCAACCAAACAAUCAAAAAAACUAACUAAACCAAAACCAAAACCAACAAAAACACAAAACAUUAUUCCUGUUCUUGGAUGCUAUAUCUUGUUCUGUGCUUUUGAUGUAUUUUAUUUUCUUCAAAUCAGUGUCUCAACUGUGUAGUGAUGUUCCCUCACUAUAUAACCCUGAUACUUUUGGAGGUAACUGAUAGAACUUUAAGUAGCCAGAAUAUACAGUGCCCAACACAUGGUAAGCAAUAAAUGAGUUUCAGAUGCAGUCACUUCUUCCUCAUCAUCACCAUCUCCAUGGCAUGUUAGUGUUAAGUGCUCACUGAAUAUGUUUGUCUUUCUCAAUGAAGCAGAUAUGUUAUCUUUGUAUUUUUGUCCCCACUGUCUCCAACAUAAAGUUAGUAAUUUGAUUAUUGAAUAAUUGAAACUAUCUUAAUUAGUAAAUCACAGUAUCAACUUCCACAUAAUUGUGUCUUUCAUGCUUUAAAAAUAAUAAGAUUCUGCUACAGUUGCCUUGAGAGUCUGUCUGACCUAGAAGAUCAUAGUCGGAGCUGAAAGAUCAGGAACUGAAGUCUGAGAAAGAUCUUUUCUAUCUCCCAGAACACCUGCUUUACCUUGCAGAGUGUAUGUUAAAAUAUUGUGUUUCAGUUUAGCAUAAAGUGGGCAUAACUAAAGUUGUGUGGACCCAAGAGGAAAGAUUUUAGAGACAAUGGAGUCAGAGCAAUGUAGCCUUUAAAGUUUUAUUCACAUCAAUAAAUGGUGUUUUGUACAUUUGGAUUCUGCUUUUUUUCUCUUAAGGACAGCACUUAGAGGCCGGGUGUGGUGGCGCAUUCCUUUAAUCCCAGCAUUUGGGAGGCACAGGCAGGUGGAUUUCUGAGUUCGAGGCCAGUCUGGUCUACAAAGUGAGUUCCAGGACAGCCAGAAACCCUGUCUUGAAAAACAAACAAACAAACAAAACAGCACUUAGUUAAAUAUUUAUAAAUGUAAAUUAUUAACAAUAACAACAGGUGGUUUCUAUAUUUUUUAUUUACUUAUUAUUAUUUUAGACAGUCUCAUUAUACAGUUUUGGCUGGCUUGGAACUCACUAUGCAAAACAGGAUGGCCUUGAAGCCAAAAGAUCUGUCUUAUUUUGCCUCCCAAGUACUGGGAUUAGACAUAUACCACCAUGCCCAGCAAAGUGAUUUCUUUUCAAAAGAGAAUAUAUGACUGGAGAGAUAUCUCAGUGAUUUCUUAAUUUGUUGCUUUUAGAGAAGACCUAAAUCACUUCUACUUACAUGGUUCACAACUGCCUGUAACUGUAGUUCCAGAGGGAUCUGACACCCUCUUCUGACCUCUGUGGGUACCAGGCAUGCACAUGAUACACAUACUAUAUGUACAUGUAGGCAAAUACCCAUAUACAUAAAAUAAAAACAAAUAAAUCUUUAAAAAGGUAAGAGAACAUAAUGUUCACUAUAAAUGUAAAGAGCUACCAAAUCAGGCAGCUUAUUAAGGAAGUGCUUUGUGGUCUUGAUCAUCUGCUUCCUAAUUAUUAUCAGAAGGGGUAUUUUCAAUGUAUGAUAAGCCAUGACUGCAUUGGCAGAGAAAUUAUUUCUGGCAUACAGAAGAUUUGAAAAAUAAUAAUUUUGAUACUCCAAUUGAUUCUAAGGAUUGCUAUUCAACAAAGUCUAACUCUGCUUUGGAAAUGUUUCAUUUAUCCCUUACUGACAAGCAUAACGAUUACAGAGUACAUGUUCAGGCCUUUUUCCUCCCAUUGUACUUAAAGAAGGGCAGCAUGGACCUGGUUAACUUUAAAAUUGCCUAUCAGGUGGCUCAAUUAAAAUUCACUAGCUUUCUAAAAUUGUCAAUAGAAUUUUAACCCAAGCCUGUAGAUCUAGAAUUUGAGAUGACGUGGCUUUAUAUUUGCACAUAUCUAAACUGUUCACCAAAGAAAAUGCUUUAAGAGUAAUUUUCAAGUCAACUCUCAUUUUUACUUUUUUUAAAAGAUUUUUUUUGCAAAAAUAUUAUGUAUGCAUUUCCAAAUAGCCUCUUGCAUGUUUCUAAUAUUAUGAACCCAGUGCCAGAGAGCAGACUGAUUUCUGAUGGGUUAUAUACCUAUUUUCUUGGAAUUGUUGAUUAACAUAAUAACAAGUUAUAAAAUUUAUUUAAUCUAAUGAGAGUUAUAGUAUGUGAUUUUAAAGUAAUAAAAACAAAACAAAGUGAGCACCAUUAAUAAGGCUGGUUUCCUUCAUCAGUCCUGUUUAUUAAAAUUUUAUUAUAUAAUGAAUCAUCUAAGAUUUCUGCUAGCAAUUCUUUUCAACACAUACAAUCAAUUUCCAGAAAACUGUAAAUAUAAUUUUCUUGUUUAAUUUCUUGUUAAUAAAAUAUUGUUUGGCUUUCUCAAAAUAUCUGUGUUUAACAAUAUUACUAUAUGCCCUGACAAUAAAAUCUAUUUCCUGAAUAUAUUUCAUUUUAGAACAGCAUAUCUGUUUGCUAAUUAAAUAAUCAGCAUUAUGUUCAAGUUCAGGAGUUAGAAUUUUUAAUAUUAAUAGAUUCUGAUUUUAGAGUAAUCAAAACACCAAAUAUGAAUGGCCAUAGGACAUAAUGUACUAUUAAAAUCUUGCUACUAAUUUUAUGUCAUUAGUUUUUUUCUAAGACAUUAAUUAAAAAUUCAGUCUUUUCUAUUGGCAUUAGUCAAGGAAAAAAACACACCC